AUUGAACGCUGGCGGCAGGCCUAAUACAUGCAAGUCGAACGAGUGGCGGACGGGUGAGUAAUGUCUGGGAAACUGCCUGAUGGAUGGGGAUAACUACUGGAAACGGUAGCUAAUACCGCAUACCAUCGGUUGGGCCCAGAUGGGAUUAGCUUGUAGGUGGGGUAAAGGUACACCUAGGCGACGAUCCCUAGCUGGUAGGAGAGGAUGACGCGCCACACUGGAACGGAGACACGGUCCGGAGUCCUACGGGAGGCAGCAGUGGGGAAUAUUGCACAAUGGGCGCAAGCCUGAUGCAGCCAUGCCGCGUGUAUGAAGAAGGCCUUCGGGUUGUAAAGUACUUUCAGCGGGGAGGCGUUACCCGCAGAAGAAGCACCGGCUAACUCCGUGCCAGCAGCCGCGGUAAUAC
RNAcentral lists this ribosomal RNA (406 nucleotides) under uncultured bacterium. RNAcentral's name for it is "partial 16S ribosomal RNA". It matches the Rfam family "Bacterial small subunit ribosomal RNA", at positions 30 to 526 of the family's 1533-position model. The record is from RNAcentral.